Molecule: ribosomal RNA, 253 nt
Filed under: uncultured bacterium
Lineage: Bacteria
Description: partial 16S ribosomal RNA
Rfam family: Bacterial small subunit ribosomal RNA
Source: RNAcentral
UACGGAGGGGGCUAGCGUUGUUCGGAAUUACUGGGCGUAAAGCGCACGUAGGCGGCUCUGUAAGUUGGGGGUGAAAUCCCGGAGCUCAACUCCGGAACUGCCUUUAAGACUGCAGAGCUGGAGGAUGCGAGAGGUGAGUGGAAUUCCGAGUGUAGAGGUGAAAUUCGUAGAUAUUCGGAAGAACACCAGUGGCGAAGGCGGCUCACUGGCGCAGUUCUGACGCUGAGGUGCGAAAGCGUGGGGAGCAAACAGG